GGCUCAGGACGAACGCUGGCGGCGUGCUUAACACAUGCAAGUCGAGCGAAGCGCUUAAGUUUGAUUCUUCGGAUGAAGACUUUUGUGACUGAGCGGCGGACGGGUGAGUAACGCGUGGGUAACCUGCCUCAUACAGGGGGAUAACAGUUAGAAAUGGCUGCUAAUACCGCAUAAGACCACAGUACUGCAUGGUACAGUGGUAAAAACUCCGGUGGUAUGAGAUGGACCCGCGUCUGAUUAGGUAGUUGGUGAGGUAACGGCCCACCAAGCCGACGAUCAGUAGCCGACCUGAGAGGGUGACCGGCCACAUUGGGACUGAGACACGGCCCAGACUCCUACGGGAGGCAGAGUA
RNAcentral lists this ribosomal RNA (352 nucleotides) under uncultured Dorea sp. Its description in RNAcentral is "bacterial SSU rRNA". It matches the Rfam family "Bacterial small subunit ribosomal RNA", at positions 21 to 356 of the family's 1533-position model. Lineage: Bacteria; Bacillati; Bacillota; Clostridia; Lachnospirales; Lachnospiraceae. The record is from RNAcentral.